Long non-coding RNA from Nematostella vectensis (starlet sea anemone), 628 nucleotides. RefSeq lists it as uncharacterized. The transcript is spliced from 5 exons. The record is from RefSeq and is a predicted model, not a curated record. Lineage: Eukaryota; Metazoa; Cnidaria; Anthozoa; Actiniaria; Edwardsiidae.
AAGGAAAUGUCUAAAUGGGAAAUGGACUUUCUGACAUUUCCUUUGUCCUGUCGAGCAAGAAUUCGCCAGCAAUGCUAAAUGGUGCUGGUGCAGUUUGAACAGGGCUUAAGGGCCAGCACCUACGACAGCACCAUCAGCAUUCAAUUGCUCGUUCGACGAGGACAUGUACGGCUUCGUGCAGGCCACCGAUGACGACAUCGACUGGGGAAGAUAUACGGUAUACACGUGGUCCGAGGAGACUGGGCCCGAGCACGAUCAUACUACUGGGAAAGGAUACUAUAUGUACACAGAAAGCUCCCCCCUUCCAGCAGGCACGGUCGCCAAGAUCCAAAAAAAGAUUUCCCUGACCGGCUCGUCUUGCCUGUCGUUCUACUAUCACAUGUAUGGCGAGAAAAUGGGUACCCUGAAGGUCCUUGUCGCAGGUAAUGAGAUGUUCCAGAGGACUGGGGAGCAGGGAUCCGACUGAAUCCGGACCGAAGUGAAGCUGCCGGGGACUGGGGAAACUCAGGUGGAGUUCCGCGGGGUGUUGACUGGUCACUACACUUCAGACAUGGCUAUUGAUGACGUUGAACUCAAAGACUGUCAAUAACUUUUGAAGAAUGCGUUAAUAAAACGGAAGAUACCCUAA